GAUGAACGAGGGAGGCGUGCCUAAUACAUGCAAGUCGAGCGAACAGACGAGGAGCUUGCUCCUCUGACGUUAGCGGCGGACGGGUGAGUAACACGUGGAUAACCUACCUAUAAGACUGGGAUAACUUCGGGAAACCGGAGCUAAUACCGGAUAAUAUAUUGAACCGCAUGGUUCAAUAGUGAAAGACGGUUUUGCUGUCACUUAUAGAUGGAUCCGCGCCGCAUUAGCUAGUUGGUAAGGUAACGGCUUACCAAGGCAACGAUGCGUAGCCGACCUGAGAGGGUGAUCGGCCACACUGGAACUGAGACACGGUCCAGACUCCUACGGGAGGCAGCAGUAGGGAAUCUUCCGCAAUGGGCGAAAGCCUGACGGAGCAACGCCGCGUGAGUGAUGAAGGUCUUCGGAUCGUAAAACUCUGUUAUUAGGGAAGAACAAAUGUGUAAGUAACUAUGCACGUCUUGACGGUACCUAAUCAGAAAGCCACGGCUAACUACAUG
Molecule: ribosomal RNA, 497 nt
Filed under: uncultured bacterium
Lineage: Bacteria
Description: partial 16S ribosomal RNA
Rfam family: Bacterial small subunit ribosomal RNA
Source: RNAcentral